CCCUUAGAUGUUCUGGGCCGCACGCGUGCUACACUGAGUGGAUCAGCGGGUCAGGUUGCGCGAAAGUGUUUCCUAAUCUUUAAAUCCGCUCGUGAUGGGGAUUGACGGUUGCAAUUUUCCGUCAUGAACGAGGAAUACCUUGUAAGCGCGGGUCAUCAUCCCGCGCUGAAUACGUCCCUGCCCUUUGUACACAUCGCCCGUCGCUCCUACCGAUUGAGUGGUCCGGUGAGGCUUUGGGAUCUGGGCGGAAAGAGCGUUUCGCUGUUUCUGCCCGGAAAACUCAGUCGAACCUUAUCAUUUAGAGGAAGGAGAAGUCGUAACA
RNAcentral lists this ribosomal RNA (322 nucleotides) under uncultured eukaryote. Its description in RNAcentral is "partial 18S ribosomal RNA". It matches the Rfam family "Eukaryotic small subunit ribosomal RNA", at positions 1470 to 1796 of the family's 1831-position model. The record is from RNAcentral.